GGGUUGGGGGUGUAAAGCUUUUGCGGUGUGGGAUGGGCCCGCGGCCUAUCAGCUUGUUGGUGGGGUAAUGGCCUACCAAGGCGACGACGGGUAGCCGGCCUGAGAGGGUGACCGGCCACACUGGGACUGAGAUACGGCCCAGACUCCUACGGGAGGCAGCAGUGGGGAAUAUUGCACAAUGGGCGCAAGCCUGAUGCAGCGACGCCGCGUGAGGGAUGACGGCCUUCGGGUUGUAAACCUCUUUCAAUAGGGACGAAGCGCAAGUGACGGUACCUAUAGAAGAAGGACCGGCCAACUACGUG
RNAcentral lists this ribosomal RNA (302 nucleotides) under uncultured bacterium. Its description in RNAcentral is "bacterial SSU rRNA". It matches the Rfam family "Bacterial small subunit ribosomal RNA", at positions 190 to 507 of the family's 1533-position model. The record is from RNAcentral.